UAUCUAUUAUUAUAUAAAAAUAUUAAGAUCCGCCAUUCUCCCAACACAAGAAAAGUUACUCCAUAAUGGAGUUAGUACUGACAACAGAAAUAUGCUUGCCCAUUAACUAAAAAAAUAGAAAUAAGUAUUCAAAAGAAUAAUUCUCUUAUUUAAUUAGAAAUAGAAACUAGAGUAAUUUUCUGCACCGGAUAACCGAAGAAGUAGAAGAAAGAAAAAGAAGAUUUCAAUUUUUUUGUCUCGAUUUCUCCUCCCCCAGAAUUCUCUCUCGCAGCUUUGUAAAAUGACGGUAUUUAUAGAUAUUUACAUUGCUUUUGCCGUGUACAAAAAAAAAGUUUCAGCAAACUUUUCUCUUUCAUCUUGCCAACUUGCCAAUUUGAAGUGAAUUUUGACGAGGGAAUGACUUUUAACUUUUGCUGAUGCUAGCUUCUUUCUUUUCCAUUUUCAACUCCUUCUUCAAUCUUAUUCAUUUCUUUACUUAUAUUUUGAUAUUACCUACAAGAGAAUAACAAUAUUAGUAUUAAGGAUUCAAUAACAACUCAUAUUAUGCAUAGUAUUUUUAUUUUAUCAAACUCUCCUACACUUAUCAUUUUCUUCGUCUCGAGGAAAUUUCUGAAUCAUUCUUUUUUCAAGAAAACAAAUCAAGCCAGCUGCUAGUAAAAAAAAUAUUUCUUUUUUUUCUUUUUUUUCUUUUUUAAGCUGUGUCUUGACUGUGUUGAAAAUAAGAAGUUUCCAAAUUUUUCCUCUACGGUGCAUUAGUCAACAAUUUAAGAACUAUAUGGUUGUUAUAAAAUAUAAUUCAAAGUAGCAAUAUGGAACAAGGAAAUAAAAGUAAUUUAGUAAAACAUGAACAAGAAAUGGAGAUAGAGAGAAGGAAGACAUUUUUU
This 884-nucleotide long non-coding RNA is filed under the name Nicotiana tabacum (common tobacco). RNAcentral's name for it is "long non-coding RNA (NTAB_LNC008145)". Lineage: Eukaryota; Viridiplantae; Streptophyta; Magnoliopsida; Solanales; Solanaceae. The record is from RNAcentral.